Molecule: ribosomal RNA, 438 nt
Filed under: uncultured bacterium
Lineage: Bacteria
Description: bacterial SSU rRNA
Rfam family: Bacterial small subunit ribosomal RNA
Source: RNAcentral
GCAUAACGCGAAGAACCUUACCAGGUCUUGACAUCCCUCUGACCGAUCCUUAACCGGAUCUUCUCUUCGGAGCAGAGGUGACAGGUGGUGCAUGGUUGUCGUCAGCUCGUGUCGUGAGAUGUUGGGUUAAGUCCCGCAACGAGCGCAACCCUUAUCUUUAGUAGCCAGCAGUUCGGCUGGGCACUCUAGAGAGACUGCCAGGGAUAACCUGGAGGAAGGUGGGGAUGACGUCAAAUCAUCAUGCCCCUUAUGAUCUGGGCUACACACGUGCUACAAUGGUGAUAACAAAGUGAAGCAGCCUCGUGAGAGUGAGCAAAUCACAAAAAGGUCAUCCCAGUUCGGAUUGUACUCUGCAACUCGAGUACAUGAAGCUGGAAUCGCUAGUAAUCGCGAAUCAGAAUGUCGCGGUGAAUACGUUCCCGGGUCUUGUACACACCG